CCCAUAUUAAUUCUUGAAAAUGGACAUGGUUUUAUUUUUCUUCUUUGGUUUGCAAAAACGUCAAUUCGUACUAUACUCUUCGACAUUUUCAAGCCCUCAUUUGUCCCUGCUUUUCUCCACAACCACACCAAACUCCACCACAAGGUCCACAACCACACCAAACUCCACCACCUCUUUCCUCUACUCUUGUCGCCUGAAAUUUUCGUCGACGUCUCCCCCUCUUCUUCGCUGGGUGUGGCCCGCUGCUCUGUUCUCCCUUCUGCUGCUUUGUUCUCUCAUCUAAAAAAAAUCGGAAAGACCAAAAAAAUUCUUUCUAAUUCUCUGAUUAAUUCAUAUUAUCAAUGUCAACUCACCAUCGUAACUAUCUUAAACUCAUCGUUCUCAACAAUAGUGGGCGAAAUGGCGAUUAGGUUUCUGAAUCGGAAGUUAGAAAAAUUGGCGAUUGGCGUCCUGUUUGGCAAUAAGAACGGUGUGCUAUGAAUAUAUGGAUGAGCAAGGCCAGGAACUUUAUUCACUCUCGACGAACACCUAACGGAAUAUUUCAUAAACAAAAUGGUGGUUGGUUGGCUUGGUGUCUCUGAUCUGAGCCUGUGGUGCAAAACUAGGCUGUUGAUUUUGUAUGUUGUGCUGCCCUAGAUGCUCUGUUGUUCUGAUUCUUGUUGUCCUAUUGAUCUCCACUUUGUUGAUGGGUGAUCUGUAAUUUAUUCUGCGCAUUGCUACUGUUUUUUCUCGAAGCCUGAAAGGUGGCCGCAAAUAUGAAGAAGAGUUACAUGUAGCAUAUGGUGUGGUUUGUUUGUACAAGCUACUUUAGACCGAUUUGGAUUGACUUAGGUAGUUUUUGUUUCUUUGUCGGUUGUGUAUUUUUGUAUUGGUUUUAGAGUUUGGUUGGCUAGCUUAGUUUUAUGUAGUUUUGGGCUUGCAGGUUGUUGCAAGGUCUAGGGUGUUUUUUUUUUGUAAUAAUAUUUGGUUCGCUUUUGGUUAAUAAUAUUACUUAUUUACCAAAUAUUAGCUUAUAGGUGAUUGUGCUUGGAAA
This is a long non-coding RNA of Spinacia oleracea (spinach), 1033 nucleotides long. RefSeq lists it as uncharacterized. The transcript is spliced from 3 exons. The record is from RefSeq and is a predicted model, not a curated record. Lineage: Eukaryota; Viridiplantae; Streptophyta; Magnoliopsida; Caryophyllales; Amaranthaceae.